This is a non-coding RNA of Didymosphaeria variabile, 137 nucleotides long. The record is from the annotation of a RefSeq genome assembly. Lineage: Eukaryota; Fungi; Ascomycota; Dothideomycetes; Pleosporales; Didymosphaeriaceae.
GGCCGUGUGGCCCAAUGGCAAGGCGCUUGACUACGAUUCAACCGAAAUCAAGAGAUUCCAGGUAUGUAGUUGAUACUGCAGAGAUCUUAUCCGCAUUGAUUACUAACUCUACUCAGGUUCGACCCCUGGCACGGUCA